RNAcentral lists this long non-coding RNA (642 nucleotides) under Homo sapiens (human). RNAcentral describes it as "HSALNT0212982". The record is from RNAcentral. Lineage: Eukaryota; Metazoa; Chordata; Mammalia; Primates; Hominidae.
ACUGAGCACAUUUGGCAGGGGCAAAGAUGAAUUCUGAGGACACACUGGAAAUACCGAGUCAUCCCCAAGCCCCACCUCAUCCUCAAGGGAACUUUCUGAGGAGCUUCUGGAUGGGAGAUGCAGCUGCCUUUUUAAGUGGCAUAGCAUAUCCAUAUUUGGCCAGCUGUGAAAACAGAUGUAAGCUCCAGUAAAGGCCUGUCAGUAAGCAGAAUGGUCUUUCAUUCUGGAAUGAUUCUGAGGGCUAAGAAAGGACUUAACAGUAAAAGCUAAGCUACACAAACCAGGCUAGAAAAGAGAGUUAGGUUUAAAUCAUACCCUGGGCAACUGACUCAACCCUUCUCUUGCUCAAAGCCUCCAUUCCCACCCACCACCUCUGUUAACAUUUUCCCACUCUUCCAGCGCUAAACACCCCAACUAGAAUGUACUCCAGGCUGGCAGAGAUAUGGUCUGUGUUGUUCACUACCGUAACCUUAGCACAGUGCCUGACGCAAAAUAGGAAAUCAAGACACAAUUGAUCAAUAAAUGAAUGAACACAGCACAAAAUGUCUAGACGCUAUAUCCUCUGGGGGAGGGAAUGGUAUAGUAUCACCAUUAAAGGUUCAACCAACCUCACUCUAUCAUCCACUGACUUUAGGAUAACUU